GACGAACGCUGGCGGCGUGCUUAACACAUGCAAGUCGAACGGAAAGGCCCUGCUUGCAGGGCGCUCGAGUGGCGAACGGGUGAGUAACACGUGGGUGAUCUGCCCCUUAUUUUGGGAUAAGCCUGGGAAACUGGGUCUAAUACUGGAUAGGACCAUGCUGUAGGUGGUGUGGUGGAAAGAUUAGUUUCGGUAAGGGAUGAGCUCGCGGCCUAUCAGCUUGUUGGUGGGGUAAUGGCCUACCAAGGCGUCGACGGGUAGCCGGCCUGAGAGGGUGGACGGCCACAUUGGGACUGAGAUACGGCCCAGACUCCUACGGGAGGCAGCAGUGGGGAAUAUUGCACAAUGGGCGCAAGCCUGAUGCAGCGACGCCGCGUGGGGGAUGACGGCCUUCGGGUUGUAAACUCCUUUCAGCCAUGACGAAGCCCUUGUGGUGACGGUAGUGGUAGAAGAAGCACCGGCUAACUACGUG
Molecule: ribosomal RNA, 469 nt
Filed under: uncultured bacterium
Lineage: Bacteria
Description: partial 16S ribosomal RNA
Rfam family: Bacterial small subunit ribosomal RNA
Source: RNAcentral